This is a long non-coding RNA of Perognathus longimembris pacificus (Pacific pocket mouse), 150 nucleotides long. RefSeq lists it as uncharacterized. The record is from RefSeq and is a predicted model, not a curated record. Lineage: Eukaryota; Metazoa; Chordata; Mammalia; Rodentia; Heteromyidae. The transcript is spliced from 3 exons.
CAGGAAAGAAGGAACGAUGAUUUUGAGGUAACUGAAUACUCUUUGCAUUCCGAAUAUGCAGGACUGGUUUGAAGUCUUAUUUGGAAUAACACUUAACACACACACACACAUAUACACACACACACACACACACACACACGGAGUCUCUCU